Non-coding RNA from Aegilops tauschii subsp. strangulata, 979 nucleotides. NCBI's taxonomy places the organism in Eukaryota, Viridiplantae, Streptophyta, Magnoliopsida, Poales, Poaceae. The record is from RefSeq and is a predicted model, not a curated record.
CAAGUGUAGACUGUAGACAGCGUGUACACAUUUUUUAUGGUGGAAGCCUCAUCAUCGCGCAUGGCUCUCUUGCCUGAUCCCCUUUUCAUCUCCUUCUAUUCCAUCUAUACAAAAUUCGUUCCAGCCAUGAACACCAACUCAGUUUCCCUUCUUGAUUCCUUGCCGUGACCUUGCUGGUACACACCUGCAUGCAUCUCUGCAGCUCGGCUGACUGUCGCGGCCACGAGGUGGCCAUCUCGUGCGCCUGAUUUGGCUCCUCGUUCUGCCAGGCCGGUCAAUGGCGGUGGAGGGUUAGCAGGGCUCGAUGAGAAGCUGCGCAAUGGAGGAGGCGAGCUUGUCGAUCUUGACAGUGCCGCUGCUGUCGGUGUCCUUGGAGGCGACGUGGGCGUGGAUCUCAUCUCCCACAUCCAGCUUGAAUCCACCUCGAUUGUGAGGAUGCUGGCGGCGUUGUUUUCCAUCACAUCGUGGCGGCGUCCUGGAGCGAGGCGCCCUGACAGGUCAUCUUCAUCCUCGGCAAUGGAAGCCUCACGUCGUCGGCUCAUUCUUCACCUGCAGGGUCAUAGGUGCAUAACUGCGUUGUGCGUGGUUUGUCUUUACCUUCAGAUGGUACUUACUGGAGGCUCACUUGAUGGACCGAUGGCACAAUCGAGGAUAUUGGGGCACUUGCUUUUGAGAGUUCUUUUUCUUCUUUGAGGGAAAGCCAUCAUGGUGGUGUAUAUUAAUUUGGAGUGAUAGCUACAUCAUCUGCAAAAACCCCAAGUGAAAAACCUGAAGGGUUGCCUAUGAUGGGUACAAGUCUAACCUAUCAUGAGUUUUUUUAUGGGAUCAUGAGAUUGAAUGUGAGGUUGGUGUAAAUAAUAUGUGAUGGACUGUAAGACUGAUUGUGAGAUUAGUAUAUAUGGUAUUAGGAACAAAAACAAAAGAGAAUUACAUGCAAAUGAUUAGUGUAGGGUUGUUUGGGAGAAGUGAUCAACAUACC